GAGGGAAAACAUUAGUUGACCUGGAAUGAUUUUAUCUGGGCUGAAAGCCGUCAGACAGCGGCGAAAACAUCAAUAGUCGUGAUGCUAACACGAUCGCAGACAUCACCAGACUGAGACUACGAAGCUCGUCGCCACGGUCGGGCAGCAAGAAGGACGAGCUCUGACGCACGGGAAGGGACUGGACGGGAGGAAACAUCGAUUUGGG
This is a long non-coding RNA of Corythoichthys intestinalis (scribbled pipefish), 205 nucleotides long. RefSeq lists it as uncharacterized. The transcript has 3 exons. NCBI's taxonomy places the organism in Eukaryota, Metazoa, Chordata, Actinopteri, Syngnathiformes, Syngnathidae. The record is from RefSeq and is a predicted model, not a curated record.